Molecule: ribosomal RNA, 460 nt
Filed under: uncultured Paludibacter sp.
Lineage: Bacteria; Pseudomonadati; Bacteroidota; Bacteroidia; Bacteroidales; Paludibacteraceae
Description: bacterial SSU rRNA
Rfam family: Bacterial small subunit ribosomal RNA
Source: RNAcentral
CCUACGGGCGGCUGCAGUGAGGAAUAUUGGUCAAUGGGCGCAAGCCUGAACCAGCCAAGUCGCGUGAAGGAUGACAGAUCUAUGGUUUGUAAACUUCUUUUGCAGGGGAGUAAAGUGCGACACGUGUGUUGUAUUGCAAGUACCCUGCGAAUAAGCAUCGGCUAACUCCGUGCCAGCAGCCGCGGUAAUACGGAGGAUGCAAGCGUUAUCCGGAUUUAUUGGGUUUAAAGGGUGCGUAGGCGGGUUAUCAAGUCAGCGGUGAAAUUUUUCGGCUUAACCGUAAAAUUGCCGUUGAAACUGGUGAUCUUGAGUGCGAGCGAGGUAGGCGGAAUGUGCCGUGUAGCGGUGAAAUGCAUAGAUAUGGCACAGAACUCCGAUUGCGAAGGCAGCUUACUAGUACGCUACUGACGCUGAUGCACGAAGGCGUGGGGAUCAAACAGGAUUAGAUACCCUGGUAGUC